Molecule: ribosomal RNA, 392 nt
Filed under: uncultured bacterium
Lineage: Bacteria
Description: bacterial SSU rRNA
Rfam family: Bacterial small subunit ribosomal RNA
Source: RNAcentral
ACUCCUACGGGAGGCAGCAGUAAGGAAUAUUGGUUCAAUGGACGCAAGUCUGAACCAGCCAUGCCGCGUGAAGGAUGAAGGUCCUCUGGAUUGUAAACUUCUUUUAUAGGGGGCGGAAAAAGGUUUUACUUAAAUACACUUGACAGUACCCUACUGAAUAAGCACCGGCUAACUCCGUGCCAGCAGCCGCGGUAAUACGGAGGGUGGCAGCGUAUCCGGAUUCACUGGGUUAAGGGUGCGUAGGCGGGUAGGUAAGUCAGAGGUGAAAUCCUGGAGCUUAACUCCAGAACUGCCUUUGAUACUAUCUAUCUUGAAUAUGGUGGAGGUAAGCGGAAUAUGUCAUGUAGCGGUGAAAUGCAUAGAUAUGACAUAGAACACCUAUUGCGAAGGCA